Molecule: ribosomal RNA, 465 nt
Filed under: uncultured bacterium
Lineage: Bacteria
Description: partial 16S ribosomal RNA
Rfam family: Bacterial small subunit ribosomal RNA
Source: RNAcentral
CCUACGGGGGGCAGCAGUAGGGAAUCUUCCACAAUGGGCGAAAGCCUGAUGGAGCAACGCCGCGUGGGUGAAGAAGGUCUUCGGAUCGUAAAACCCUGUUGUUAGAGAAGAAAGUGCGUGAGAGUAACUGUUCACGUUUCGACGGUAUCUAACCAGAAAGGCACGGCUAACUACGUGCCAGCAGCAGCGGUAAUACGUAGGUGACAAGCGUUAUCCGGAUUUAUUGGGCGUAAAGGGAACGCAGGUGGUCUUUUAAGUCUGAUGUGAAAGUUUUCGGCUUAACCGGAGUAGUGCAUUGGAUACUGGGAGACUUGAGUGCAGAAGAGGAGAGUGGAACUCGAUGUGUAGCGGUGAAAUGCGUAGAUAUAAGGAAGAACCCCAGUGGCGAAAGCGGCUCUCUGAUCUGUAACUGACACUGAGGUUCGAAAGCGUGGGUAGCAAACAGGAUUAGAUACCCCAGUAGUC